CAUCCUUAGGUAUUUUACAAAGUAACUUGUUAAAUGCCAGGAGAAUCCAUUCUUUUCAGACAGAUGCCAUUUACAUUUUUCCUUUCCUGGAAGACACCAGAUGGCUAACAGCAUGCUGCAGGAGCUGAAAUCAGAGGAAAAGAGAUGGAUCCUAUUUCCAAGAGCUGUACAUUCUGGCGUGUGUUGAAUUGCACUAGUAUAGACACUUCCUAA
RNAcentral lists this long non-coding RNA (213 nucleotides) under Numida meleagris (helmeted guineafowl). RNAcentral describes it as "lncRNA (ENSNMEG00000020957.1)". Lineage: Eukaryota; Metazoa; Chordata; Aves; Galliformes; Numididae. The record is from RNAcentral.